GUUUCUGUAGUGUAGUGGUUAUCACAUUUGCUUCACACGCAUAAAGGUCCCUGGUUCAAAGCCAGGCAGAAACA
Molecule: non-coding RNA, 74 nt
Organism: Cygnus atratus (black swan)
Lineage: Eukaryota; Metazoa; Chordata; Aves; Anseriformes; Anatidae
Source: the annotation of a RefSeq genome assembly